Molecule: ribosomal RNA, 207 nt
Filed under: uncultured bacterium
Lineage: Bacteria
Description: partial 16S ribosomal RNA
Rfam family: Bacterial small subunit ribosomal RNA
Source: RNAcentral
UGUGUAGGUGGCUGAGCAAGUCAAAGAUGAAAUCCCAAGGCUCAACUUUGGAAUUGUCUUUGAAACUGUUCAGCUUGAGGAUAGCUGAGGAGAAUGGAAUUCCCGGUGGAGCGGUGAAAUGCGUAGAUAUCGGGAGGAACACCAGAGGCGAAGGCGAUUCUCUAAGCUAUUCCUGACACUGAGACACGAAAGCUAGGGGAGCAAACG